Molecule: long non-coding RNA, 3543 nt
Filed under: Gouania willdenowi (blunt-snouted clingfish)
Lineage: Eukaryota; Metazoa; Chordata; Actinopteri; Blenniiformes; Gobiesocidae
Description: lncRNA (ENSGWIG00000008979.1)
Source: RNAcentral
UGGUAGUACAUGGGAGGACUGCUGCAAAGAGUAACAGGAGGAAUGAGUGAUUGGAAUCCACUCCAGACAUGCAUCUGUUCAAAUAGGUAAAUUAAUGAGGGUACAUUAACUCUGGUCAGAUAUCAAAUUUCUUUUGAUAUGAGAGGCACAAAAGGGCUGUGUGACUGAUGGUAAUGAAGUAAUCACUCAGACAAGACAUCCAGGAAUAGCUGCACUCCUCAAGCUCCCACCUUUGUGUUAGAAUUUGAUAUUCUCCCAAUGACUAGUCGACAACAACAGGAUGAUUGCCUCUACAAUACAGAGAACGGGCAGCGAAAAGCACAAAGAUGUUCAGCCCAACAGGCAGAAAUUCAAGCACUUUUUCCCUCACAGGCCUCGACAUGUGGGACAACGAAUCUUACUUCAGAGCCCAGGCCUCAGCAUGGUGUGGUAUGUCGACGAGCUCUGAUUCAGGGUUUUUACCAAUAGUCAGUGGAAGACAAAGAGAUCCAAGACUACGUAAGUGGCAGUCAUCCCAUCUGUUGUCUGAGCUGGGUCCAGGUUUGUUUUCUCCACCGAGAGCUGAUCUUAUGGAUGUCAGUGCCAAAAGUAGCUCGAGACAAGCAGGAGUGAGGCAAUGGCUGCAGGAUGCUCACAAACACCUGGACUCUCAUCUGGAUCAGCUGAAAAUUAAAGACCAGAAGCUGAACUGCAACUUACGGCAUGCAGAGCUGCUUGACACAAGCCACAGAAGGGGUGAUCCAGUGCUGAGUGAGUUGAGGCAGAGACUGAAACAGGCUGAGGAGAAGGCAAUGACACUUGAAGAAGAGCGAAACAAUGCACAACAGCUUCUCAAGAACUCAACUGAGAAUCAGAAGGCACUGAAAACUCAAAUCGAGGAAAUGAAUCGAAGAGUGAGCUACGCUAUGCAGCACCGCUCUGAUAUACAAGAACAGCUAAGAGAAGCCAACAACAAGAUCAGCCAAGCGUGUCUGGAUAAAGCCAAACUGAUGACUCAAGUGUUGAAGCUGGAGAAUCAUGUAAAAGAAUUAGAGCUCAAAUUAACAGAGGCCCUGUUAGACAACAAACAUCUGAUCAAGGAGAAAGAAGAUUUUUCCCUGAGGGUUCAAGCUCUGGAGAGGCAGCAGGUGGAGGACCAUGAUGCAACAAUACCUUCUUCUCCAAUGGCUCUCACUGAGAUGAAUGAAAAGCUCAACAAAGAGCUGCAAAUCAAUAAACACUCUCUGCAAGAAUCACAAAAUCAGCUUCAAGCUCUAGAAAAGGAGAACAUCAAUCACAUCAAACAAAAAGCAGCUCUGGAAAUGGAGCGCUUUCAGCUGAUCAGAGAAAACAAGGAGCUGCUGCUAAGAAAUGACCAAUAUAAACCCUCUGAGUUAUCAGAGAUAAAUAAAAAGUCCCAACAGAAUAGGGAAGAGCUGGAGUUAGAAAAGCAGAGACUUUGGGAUCAGUGCUUAUGUUUGCAGGCUGAUGUCCAGGAAAAGGAAAAGAUGCUUCAUAUACAGAAGGAGAGGCAUCACAAACAGGACUUGGAGAGCGCCCAGGCCAUAGAGGAGCUAAGAGCCAUGACCUUAUACUGGAAUAAGAAGUGGCAAAAGGUGGCUCAGUCUCUGCAGUCUACACAGGAGGAGUUAUACAAAAUCAGAAGAACCUCAAAGCAUGAAUUGCCUGCAAGAGUACCAGAAGAUUGUCAUGACGAUGGAAAUCUAGAAGAAGAUGCACCAGUCGAUGGGCUUCUGAGGAACCAACAAGAUGAUAACCAAAGGAAGAUGGAUCAGCUGGAGAUACAGAAAACUUUGGUGGCCCAGGACCUUCAAACCCUAAAAAAGGUUAAAGAUGAGAAACCAUCUGUUGAAGACAAGAGGCGUGGGGCUGUCUGUUUAGUGACCAAUCAACAAAGGAGAAUGGUCAAUGAGCAGUUGAAAAGCUUGUUUAAGGAGCAAGAAAAACAGGCAGAAAAGGUCAACACCCUACCAGCAGCUGCUCCAGCUGAAUCCUCCUCAUCUCAAGAGAGGAGUCACAUCUCCAAAAGUGUCCGGGCUGCAACAGACAGGAGAAAUUGGCAGUCUGUCUCUGGUUUGAUGCCAGUGUUGGAGGAGGAUGAAGAGAGCUGCGACCCACCAGAGGAGCUUGAAGGAGAGCCAAUGAAAAAGACUGAUGAAACCCUCUUGGACCAGAGACAACAGAAAUCUUCAGCUCCUGGCAUGGCAGUCUGGGAUCUUUCCUCACCAGAAUCUUUAACAUAUUUGGAUGAUUCCAAGAAAAAGUGGACUUGGAGUCCUCCCCCUUAUCCUGAUGGAAUAUUUGGAGCUAAAAUUGUGGAUAUCUGCAGUCCUGAUGAAUGCGAUGAAGAAGGGGAUGUUAUGUGAAGCCUCUGAGGAAAUUGUAUUAAAGACUACAGUUAAUAGGUCAGACUACUUAAUGGUAAAAACAGUUGUUGAAAGCAGAGAGGUAAUAGAACAGACCAGUUUACACUAGCACUGCAGUUUAUUAUGGAUUUUGUCUAUCUUAUUAAAUUGUGCUCAUCUUUCUGCUUUUACUUGGCUGGUUUUGGCUCUGAUGCUCCUCAAACUGUUGGUGUCACGCAGGCAUAAUGCAUGGUAAUGAGUGCAUUGUUUCAGGUUUUUAAUGCCUGUGCGUGACAGGACUACAGUAGCUCUGGGUGAACAAUGUGCCAGCGUGCCUGCUCCACCAGCAGGGAGCACAUAUCCCUCCAGUGAGCACGUCCUGCAUCUGCAGCGUCAGCACCAAUGAGGACUCGACCAAUGACUUGACCCUCUGAGAGGCCCACCGUCUGUUACACAAGAAGAAAGAAAUACUGACCAAUGAAAAAUAAUUAGUGUGUGUAUAGUAGCAUAGAAAGCGGUUGCUGUGAUUUCAAGUCUGUACCUGUACGACUUCAAACUCCAGCGUGAGAGUGAGUUGACUGAUGUCUCCUACUGGUAGGUCAAACAGGAACGAUGUAUUCCACACUGUGUACGACUCUCUCUGAGUUUCUCUGCUGCUAAUCAAAACCCUGCCAUGAUGAAGGUUGACCACCACCUGGUAAUCUGUGCACAGGAUGCACAUAUUCAGGAAGAGAUUAGACCUUUAAUCACAUCUCCAACGUGACCUUUUCCCUUUCUUGAGACACUAUGUAUUUGCCAUCUGGCUCAGUCUAAAGAUGGUAUGGGUGAUUGUUCUGGGUAAAUGAAAAUGAAGAGAAAAUACACUGGUCUAUAGUCUUGUAAACAAUGGCUCUUCAAAAACAAAUUGUGGUGACUGAUCAUUUUAAUCUGGAAAAAUGUGAUUUUACAAUGUCAAGUGGACUACAAAUUAAAUGUAUUACAAUAAUAUGAUUACUAUAAAUCAAGCUGCAGAACCAAGAAUGCUAAAAUCUUUCUGGUUUUACUGCUGAAGCUGUCAUCCAAUGACAUGGAUGUGGAAAGUGAGGUCCCAAAACAGGAAGUCAAGGAGGAACUAGGUAAGAAAAAACAUGGUUAAAGGUGAUUAGGGACAAAAAGGUGAAGUUUGAUGCCAAUAAAUUAGGAGGAAGUGGAUUAUUUU